GGUGGUGAAGUUUUGAUGGUAAAACGGUGCACUCCAAUUCCACUAAUUGCACGUUCAACUCGUGCCGCCACCG
RNAcentral lists this transfer RNA (73 nucleotides) under Pseudomonadota bacterium. RNAcentral describes it as "Proteobacteria bacterium tRNA-Trp". It matches the Rfam family "tRNA". Rfam says of the family: Transfer RNA (tRNA) molecules are approximately 80 nucleotides in length. Their secondary structure includes four short double-helical elements and three loops (D, anti-codon, and T loops). The record is from RNAcentral. Lineage: Bacteria; Pseudomonadati; Pseudomonadota.